GACGAACGCUGGCGGCGUGCCUAAUACAUGCAAGUAGAACGCUGAAGGAGGAGCUUGCUCUUCUGGAUGAGCUGCGAACGGGUGAGUAACGCGUAGGUAACCUGCCUGGUAGCGGGGGAUAACUAUUGGAAACGAUAGCUAAUACCGCAUAACAGUAGAUGUUGCAUGACAUUUACUUAAAAGGUGCAAUUGCAUCACUACCAGAUGGACCUGCGUUGUAUUAGCUAGUUGGUGGGGUAACGGCUCACCAAGGCGACGAUACAUAGCCGACCUGAGAGGGUGAUCGGCCACACUGGGACUGAGACACGGCCCAGACUCCUACGGGAGGCAGCAGUAGGGAAUCUUCGGCAAUGGACGGAAGUCUGACCGAGCAACGCCGCGUGAGUGAAGAAGGUUUUCGGAUCGUAAAGCUCUGUUGUAAGAGAAGAACGAGUGUGAGAGUGGAAAGUUCACACUGUGACGGUAUCUUACCAGAAAGAGACGGCUAACUACGUG
Molecule: ribosomal RNA, 495 nt
Filed under: uncultured bacterium
Lineage: Bacteria
Description: partial 16S ribosomal RNA
Rfam family: Bacterial small subunit ribosomal RNA
Source: RNAcentral